CUCUCAUCAAGAGAGGUGGAGGGAGACGGCCCGAUGAAGCCCGGCAACCCCCCUGCGUAAGCGGGAAGGGUGCCAAUUCCGGCGGAACUUUUCCGCAAGAUGAGGG
This 106-nucleotide non-coding RNA is filed under the name Ktedonobacter sp. Its description in RNAcentral is "SAM-I sequence". It matches the Rfam family "SAM riboswitch aptamer (S box leader)". From Rfam's summary of the family: The SAM riboswitch is found upstream of a number of genes which code for proteins involved in methionine or cysteine biosynthesis in Gram-positive bacteria. The record is from RNAcentral. Lineage: Bacteria; Bacillati; Chloroflexota; Ktedonobacteria; Ktedonobacterales; Ktedonobacteraceae.